RNAcentral lists this ribosomal RNA (465 nucleotides) under uncultured bacterium. RNAcentral describes it as "partial 16S ribosomal RNA". It matches the Rfam family "Bacterial small subunit ribosomal RNA", at positions 28 to 507 of the family's 1533-position model. The record is from RNAcentral.
GACGAACGCUGGCGGCGUGCUUAACACAUGCAAGUCGAACGGAAAGGCCCCUUUGGGGGUCCUCGAGUGGCGAACGGGUGCGUAACACGUGAGUAACCUGCCCUUGCCUUCGUUUUAACUUCAUUAAACUGGGGCUAAUACCGGAUAGGAAUCCUUUCUGCCUGCUGGGGGUUGGAAAGCUUCGGCGGUUUUGGAUGGACUCGCGGCUUAUCUGCUUGUUGGUGGGGUAGUGGCUUACCAAGGCUUUGACGGGUAGCCGGCCUGAGAGGGCGAACGGCCAAAAUGGGACUGAGGUACGGCCCAGACUCCUACGGGAGGCAGCAGUGGGGAAUAUUGCACAAUGGGCGGAAGGCUGAUGCAGCAACGCCGCGGGGGGGAUGACGGGCUUCGGGUUGGAAAACGCUUUCAGCAGGGGCGAAGCUUGUGGUGACGGUACCUGCAGAAGAAGCACCGGCUAACUACGUG